GCCGACAACUUAUUUUUUUUCUUUAUGUGUGUGAUAUUUUGAGGAGGUUUUCAUCAUAGAAAAUUAGUUGGAGAACUGAUUUACUAUGGAAAAAUAUGGAAUGGGGUGUCCCAUAUUUUGUUGGGCAUGUUUUAGUGUGAAUAGAUGAGAGGAGGCGACAUCUUGUUAGAGUCCAUGAUCUCUAGGACUCUUCACCCUUAUUCCUUACACAUCAAUAAA
Molecule: long non-coding RNA, 219 nt
Filed under: Elaeis guineensis (African oil palm)
Lineage: Eukaryota; Viridiplantae; Streptophyta; Magnoliopsida; Arecales; Arecaceae
Description: long non-coding RNA (EGUI_LNC077732)
Source: RNAcentral